This 283-nucleotide long non-coding RNA is filed under the name Zostera marina. Its description in RNAcentral is "long non-coding RNA (ZMAR_LNC003932)". Lineage: Eukaryota; Viridiplantae; Streptophyta; Magnoliopsida; Alismatales; Zosteraceae. The record is from RNAcentral.
CCCGGAAUAUCAGUCAGAGAGACUGCACAAAAGGAACCAUACCCGGUUCCAUAUUCGCCCCGGUCAAGGAUAGGGACGACGUGGAAACCGUUACGGACAAGAACGGACCACUGACGCCAAGAACCAUCAAUCUCCCGAUAGAAAGAUGGGGCGUGCUUCUCUUCAAGGGGAGAAGGAAAAGGGUAUUUGUCCCUCGUCUCGGAAGGGUAACCCUUAGGGGAACUCUCAAGGACAUGAAUAUUUUGACUACAGACUUCGGGAGGAAGUUGAGCAGAACUGCCUG